Molecule: small RNA, 894 nt
Filed under: Pan troglodytes (chimpanzee)
Lineage: Eukaryota; Metazoa; Chordata; Mammalia; Primates; Hominidae
Description: processed transcript
Source: RNAcentral
UCCGCAGGGAUGCUGUGAAUAAGAUUAAAUCGUUACCCAUUGCUACGAAAGAGCAGCUUGAGAAACACAAUGAUAUUUGUGCCAUCUGUUAUCAGGACAUGAAAUCUGCUGUGAUCACGCCUUGCAGUCAUUUUUUCCAUGCAGGCUGUCUUAAGAAAUGGCUGUAUGUCCAGGAGACCUGCCCUCUGUGCCACUGCCAUCUGAAAAACUCCUCCCAGCUUCCAGGAUUAGGAACUGAGCCAGUUCUACAGCCUCAUGCUGGCGCUGAGCAAAACGUCAUGUUUCAGGAAGAGGUUUGUGAAGAAAAUUCAACCUCAGCAACUUCAGAAACUGCCCCUGAUAUGUGUGAGAGAGAAAUAAAAUCAGAUUUUGAGUGUUGAAGGGACUGAGGAGGUGAGGAUAAAGAGCAUGAGAACAGCAUGGAAAGAAGGAGGCAGAAGUGGCACUGAACUUUCACUCUCCGUGGGACAGAUCAAUCUCAUUAUCAAGUCUGAACAGCAACCAGCCCUCUCCUCCACCCCGUUUCUCCUCAGUUAAUUGGAGCUCAGUCAGGUGAUUAUUGAGUCUUGUACAGCACUGAAAUGAAAUCAAAGAUGAAGAAGCAUUGAUUGUAUUCAAAGAUUGAAGCACGCUCAUACUUUAUAUGUGCUUUAGGGAAGGGGUGGGUGGGCACUUGGGCCUUGCGGGUGCAUUCAUGUAAUCUGAGACUCUUGAACUUUAUGACGGAGUCUUCAAUAUUUUGAUGUAUAUGAAACUUUUGUUAAAUAUGUUGUAUACUUCGCUGGCUGUGUGAAGUAAACUAAAACUCUGAUGAACACUUUGGAGUCUGCUUUAGUGAAGGAGACCAAAGUGGGAAGGGCUUUAGGGCACUGAUAGAGGCCCUGGGUGUACUUU